AAAAAUGACUGCUGACUAUCAUACCGAAACAGCGGAACGAAUGUGCGAGAUUUCAGACGUUUUGUUUUGACCAAAAUAUCCAUACAGUUAACACAUAUGACAGACGGAUAUCUUCCUGUCGUUAUCUGGUGGAUUUAAUUGCAUGACCAGCAGAGAUAAGGGGAGUCAAAAUGUUCAGGAUCCAAAUCCAUUCUAAUCCGAAAUCGGAAUUCAAAUCGAAAUCCAACUUCGUACUCCAAAAUUACGAAACAAAGCUACCUUCACAUUGUAACAUCGUGGAUUCGUAGGGUAUUCUGAUCAUCGGUCGCAGAAUAAGCAAUUCAAAGAAACAAUUGUCUGUGCUAUAUCAACCCUAUUAUUUGCCAUAAAUCUGCUGGAAUCUAUAUAUUGGAGAUAGAAUUGUAGAAGAAAAAAUCAGAAGAAAGAAAACUUAAAAAUUCCAAACUUAAGAAGUUGAAUGGUCUCAUUCGCCUAAUUGAAGAGAAUAAUUUCAAAUGUCUUCGACACACAUGGAACAUACCAAACAAUUAGCGUCUCAAGAGGUGGCGGGACCGCGGCCGACAAAAAUACCUUUAAAAUGACGUGUUCGGUUUAAGCCAAGAACGAAAGAUUACGUAUACUGUUCAGGGGUUUCAAGCAUGUAAUUAAUAUCAGAGUGAUAUUAGGACUCGAACAUCAGUAUUUGUUAAUGUUAUAAUACGAAAGAUCAUUUACUUGAACAUUACACAGUAAUUGAAACCUUUUUGAAAAUUCAAAUUACGAACAAACAGAUCUGAAGUCUCGUCCAUUCUUGGCAUUAGUCACAUCUUCUACAAUACAUAAUGUAGAGUACGAGUCAGCCCAAAUUUAUACGUUUUCUCGAAAUUUCAAGUAACCCAGUAAACGAAAUAAAGUCAUUUCAAAUGAUGAUAUGAGUUUGCCCCUAAUAACAGUGUCCAGUUGCAAAACAACAAGAUCUUGGUAGAUACGAGGUGACGUUGGUUUAUACCGAAUAAGAUUCUCUCCUUUCUACGUUAUAUGAGGAAAUCUACUCAUGUAAUUAAGAAAAGCAUAAUAGUCAUCAAACCUGGCAAGGAAAUUGGACGAUUCAAUGUUGUUACUCACAUCUCUAACUCGAAGCAUAGUUUGCCAAUCCACUCCCCAUCCUUGCGAGUGAUAGAGAAAGUCCUUUGGUUAUAAGUGUGCAAAACACGACAACACCGACGCUGUUAUAUUCUAAAUCGAGCACGUCGCAGAAUUUCUGCUUGCUUCUACUGGCGCAGAGCCCCUUAACUUAAAAAAAGAUAUAUGGCAAAAAUGAAUUUGGAAUAAGAGCAUAAAACAGUUCAAAUUGGGGAUCGCCCUCAGGGCGGAAUGAAUCUUUUUUCUGUUUUCAGCCACAGCCACACGCCCGGUUUAUCUUUAGAAGAUCAUUUUCCUAAACCCCAACAAAUAAUUUUUAAUACUUAUAGAGCACUAUUUCAAAUAUUUAAUUGAACGUAACUGGUAUAGGAUACAACAGUCAAUAUUAAAAUACAGGUAAGAGAUGGAAAAAUGUGACCUGCGUGGAGUAAUUUCUGUCACAGGUGCCACAAAGUUAUUUUAGAAUUAGCGAAGAAAAGAGUACAAUAAAUAAAUUUGAAGCGAAAAAUUGUUUCGUUGCGUGGUGUGACGUGUGAGGGAGACUUGCUUUUUACUUCCAUUGAUAUCAGUCAUUAUUAACACCCUAAAUAGUCGCAUUGUUACAAACAUGUUUUUUUUCCAAAAUCAGCAGGUUACGGUAUAGAUAUAUAUACAGUGGUGAGAUUCAGCCGGUUCGCACCGGUUCUUUAGAACCGUCUCACGGAAUUUUAUGAGAUCAGCGAACCGGUUAGCAUUACUGAUUACUGUCAAUAUUCUGGUUGUAAUAGAACCGGCUGAAAAAUAUGACUUUUGUGAAGGAACCGGCUGACAAAAAAAUUGAAUCCCACCACUGUAUAUAUAUAUAUAUAUAUAAAUUGCAGGACCGCAAUAAAAUUUGCAUCAA
Molecule: long non-coding RNA, 2005 nt
Organism: Styela clava
Lineage: Eukaryota; Metazoa; Chordata; Ascidiacea; Stolidobranchia; Styelidae
Source: RefSeq, a predicted model, not a curated record